UCGAACGACUCGGACUAUGGCGAGAAGUGGCAAACUGCUCAGUAACACGUAGCUAACCUACCCUCAGGACGGAGACAACCCCGGGAAACUGGGGUUAAUCCCCGAUAGGCGUGGAUUCCUGGAAUGGUGUCACGCCGAAACGUUAACACACCAUGUUUGUGUACACGCCUGAGGAUGGGGCUGCGGCCGAUCAGGCAGUUGGUGAGGUAACGGCUCACCAAACCUUUGACCGGUACGGGCCGUGAGAGCGGUAGCCCGGAGAUGGACACUGAGACAAGGGUCCAGGACCUACGGGUCGCAGCCGGUACGAAACCUCCACAAUGCACGCAAGUGCGAUGGGGUUACCUCGAGUGCCGCCUGAAGAAGGCGGCUUUUCCAUUGUGUAAUGAGCCGUGGGAAUAAGGGGGGGGCAAGACUGGUGUCAGCCGCCGCGGUAACACCAGCCCCCCGAGUGGUGGGGAUGUUUAUUUGGCCUAAAACGUCCGUAGCCAGCUAGGUAAAUCUCUCGUUAAAUCCAGCGUCCCAAGCGUUGGGCCGCGAGAGAGACUGCCAAGCUAGAGGGUGGGAGAGGUCAGCGGUAUUUCUGGGGUAGGGGCGAAAUCCAUUGAUCCCAGGAGGACCACCAGUGGCGAAGGCUGCUGACUAGAACACGCCUGACGGUGAGGGACGAAAGCUGGGGUAGCGAAUCGGAUUAGAUACCCGAGUAGUCCCAGCCGUAAACGAUGCAGGCUAGGUGUUGGGUU
Molecule: ribosomal RNA, 743 nt
Filed under: uncultured archaeon
Lineage: Archaea
Description: bacterial SSU rRNA
Rfam family: Archaeal small subunit ribosomal RNA
Source: RNAcentral